Long non-coding RNA from Pyrus x bretschneideri (Chinese white pear), 443 nucleotides. RefSeq lists it as uncharacterized. The record is from RefSeq and is a predicted model, not a curated record. Lineage: Eukaryota; Viridiplantae; Streptophyta; Magnoliopsida; Rosales; Rosaceae. The transcript has 3 exons.
CUGUUGCAAAAAACUCCCGCCGCUGCACUCUACACCCCUUUUCCCUCCCGCCGCUGCACCUCUUCCUCCUCCUCCUUUUCGUUUCUCUCCGUCACUCUCAACGCCACACCACCGUCGCCUUCCAGGUGAAGCUCUCUGGAUCAAUUAGUAGUCAGUACUUGACUGCUUUGCUUAUGGCAGCUCCUUUGCACUGAACUAAGAAAGCUGGGAGCAACUGUUGAAGAGGGACCAGAUUACUGCAUAAUCACACCGCCAGAAAAAUUAAACGUGACAGCAAUAGACACGUAUGAUGACCACCGAAUGGCCAUGGCUUUCUCUCUUGCUGCCUGUGGAGACGUUCCAGUUACUAUCAAGGAUCCCGGUUGUACCAGAAAAACAUUCCCCGAUUACUUUGAAGUCCUCAGGAAGUUUACCAAGCAUUGAACAGCGGUUAUAAGAUAUAU